Molecule: ribosomal RNA, 642 nt
Filed under: uncultured archaeon
Lineage: Archaea
Description: bacterial SSU rRNA
Rfam family: Archaeal small subunit ribosomal RNA
Source: RNAcentral
GAGCAAGAGCCCGGAGAUGGAUUCUGAGACACGAAUCCAGGCCCUACGGGGCGCAGCAGGCGCGAAAACUUUACACUGCGGGAAACCGCGAUAAGGGAACACCGAGUGCCAGCAUCCUAUGUUGGCUGUCCACAUGUGUAAAUAACAUGUGUUAGCAAGGGCCGGGCAAGACCGGUGCCAGCCGCCGCGGUAACACCGGCGGCCCGAGUGGUGGCCACUAUUAUUGGGUCUAAAGGGUCCGUAGCCGGUUUGGUCAGUCUUCCGGGAAAUCUGACGGCUUAACCGUUAGGCUUCCGGGGGAUACUGCCAGACUUGGGACCGGGAGAGGUAAGAGGUACUACGGGGGUAGGAGUGAAAUCUUGUAAUCCCCGUGGGACCACCAGUGGCGAAGGCGUCUUACCAGAACGGGUCCGACGGUGAGGGACGAAAGCUGGGGGCACGAACCGGAUUAGAUACCCGGGUAGUCCCAGCCGUAAACUAUGCUCGCUAGGUGUCAGGGACGGUGCGACCGUUUCUGGUGCCGCAGGGAAGCCGUGAAGCGAGCCACCUGGGAAGUACGGUCGCAAGGCUGAAACUUAAAGGAAUUGGCGGGGGAGCACUACAACGGGUGGAGCCUGCGGUUUAAUUGGAUUCAACGCCGGG